This is a long non-coding RNA of Mastomys coucha (southern multimammate mouse), 251 nucleotides long. RefSeq lists it as uncharacterized. The record is from RefSeq and is a predicted model, not a curated record. The transcript has 2 exons. NCBI's taxonomy places the organism in Eukaryota, Metazoa, Chordata, Mammalia, Rodentia, Muridae.
UCAGCAUCCUGGGGUCUCCCAUUACCAAGACAGAGGGACAACCAGGUGCAAAAUCAAGUAAGCAGCAUUCUUCAGUGUCAGAGUGAUAACUCCUAAAAAAUGGAUGAACUUGAUCUCACCUUAGGAGCAACCUGGAAACUACAUACACAAUGGCUACAGUUAUGUCACACAUGUCAAGUUCCCAUGCUACGAAAGUCUUGCCUAUCCUAAUGUCUCCCUAUGCUUCUUCUAAAGUUUAAAUGUUUAAUACU